GUCGCUCCUCCACAUUGGGCUGCCCCACCCAGGCACCUCCGCCCCAGGCUUCUCCCCACAUUUGCCACUGGGAUGUCACAGCCUGGGAUUUCUGUAGAGACCAGAGGAGGUGGUGAAGACCAAUAGGACUCCACUAGAGGGCUGUAGCCCAGUGGGAUUCAAAAGAGCCUCUGUGGCCCCUGGGCCCAGACUGCAGAGAACAUUUGGUUGUAGGUGGUCAUGUGCAGGUCUGUCCCACUGUUGGGCAGAAGGGAAAUCACUACCAGCCUCAGAAUGAAAUGCAAAGGAGAGGGCUCUUCACCUGACAGCUGCGUGUGUGAGCCUCACUCUGACCCAAUGACCCAUUACCAAUGCUGUCACCCAUUACCAACACUGCAGAGCCCUAUGUCGGCAUAGCAGGCCAGCUGUUGAGGCUUAAUUGUGCAACAACUAAGUGGACAUUUUUAAUUUGCACUUUUCAUUUCCUCAAGAAGCACCCAAGCCUUUGUAAGGUUCUGAUUAACGUGCUCAGCAUUUUAGAAGCAUGAGGCUUGUUUUUAUUUUGGCUCAUGUCAAAACAUAACAUUAUUUCAUCAUUGCAGUUACAAUUUUUAGAUGCAUAAAGUAUUACAAUGGGGAAAACUGAGAUUUCCAAAUAGAAGACUCUGAAGUUGAUUCCCCUGCAUGUGGUGACCCCGUCUUUUUAGGCCUGCGUAUCUCAUCCCUGGUUUAAAUCUGAUGAAAAGUUCAUCCUUGGGGCUGAGGUUGUGGCUCAGUGGUAGAGCGCUUGCCUAGCAUGUGUGAGGCCCCAGGUUCGAUCCUCAGCACCAUGUAAAAAUAAAUAAAUAAAAUAAAGGUUAAAAAAAAAA
RNAcentral lists this long non-coding RNA (848 nucleotides) under Marmota monax (woodchuck). The record is from RNAcentral. Lineage: Eukaryota; Metazoa; Chordata; Mammalia; Rodentia; Sciuridae.